UGAGGAAUAUUGGGCAAUGCCCGCAAGGGUGACCCAGCAACGCCGCGUGGAGGAUGAAUGUCGUAAGAUUGUAAACUCCUGUUAGAGGGGAAGAAUAGUACCGGUUGGACCGGUAUAUGACUGUACCCUCAGAGAAAGCCCCGGCUAACUACGUGCCAGCAGCCGCGGUAAUACGUAGGGGGCAAGCGUUGUCCGGAUUUACUGGGUGUAAAGGGCGCGCAGGCGGGAUAAAAAGUCAGUGGUGAAAUCCUACAGCUUAACUGUAGAACUGCCUUUGAUACUUUUAUUCUUGAGUUCGGGAGAGAGAGACGGAAUUCCAGGUGUAGUGGUGAAAUACGUAGAUAUCUGGAAGAACACCCGUUCCGAAGGCGGUCUCUUGGUCCGACACUGACGCUGAGGCGCGAAAGCGUGGGGACCAAACA
Molecule: ribosomal RNA, 422 nt
Filed under: uncultured bacterium
Lineage: Bacteria
Description: bacterial SSU rRNA
Rfam family: Bacterial small subunit ribosomal RNA
Source: RNAcentral